This 2904-nucleotide ribosomal RNA is filed under the name Escherichia coli. RNAcentral describes it as "bacterial LSU rRNA". It matches the Rfam family "Bacterial large subunit ribosomal RNA". The record is from RNAcentral. Lineage: Bacteria; Pseudomonadati; Pseudomonadota; Gammaproteobacteria; Enterobacterales; Enterobacteriaceae.
UUAAGCGACUAAGCGUACACGGUGGAUGCCCUGGCAGUCAGAGGCGAUGAAGGACGUGCUAAUCUGCGAUAAGCGUCGGUAAGGUGAUAUGAACCGUUAUAACCGGCGAUUUCCGAAUGGGGAAACCCAGUGUGUUUCGACACACUAUCAUUAACUGAAUCCAUAGGUUAAUGAGGCGAACCGGGGGAACUGAAACAUCUAAGUACCCCGAGGAAAAGAAAUCAACCGAGAUUCCCCCAGUAGCGGCGAGCGAACGGGGAGCAGCCCAGAGCCUGAAUCAGUGUGUGUGUUAGUGGAAGCGUCUGGAAAGGCGCGCGAUACAGGGUGACAGCCCCGUACACAAAAAUGCACAUGCUGUGAGCUCGAUGAGUAGGGCGGGACACGUGGUAUCCUGUCUGAAUAUGGGGGGACCAUCCUCCAAGGCUAAAUACUCCUGACUGACCGAUAGUGAACCAGUACCGUGAGGGAAAGGCGAAAAGAACCCCGGCGAGGGGAGUGAAAAAGAACCUGAAACCGUGUACGUACAAGCAGUGGGAGCACGCUUAGGCGUGUGACUGCGUACCUUUUGUAUAAUGGGUCAGCGACUUAUAUUCUGUAGCAAGGUUAACCGAAUAGGGGAGCCGAAGGGAAACCGAGUCUUAACUGGGCGUUAAGUUGCAGGGUAUAGACCCGAAACCCGGUGAUCUAGCCAUGGGCAGGUUGAAGGUUGGGUAACACUAACUGGAGGACCGAACCGACUAAUGUUGAAAAAUUAGCGGAUGACUUGUGGCUGGGGGUGAAAGGCCAAUCAAACCGGGAGAUAGCUGGUUCUCCCCGAAAGCUAUUUAGGUAGCGCCUCGUGAAUUCAUCUCCGGGGGUAGAGCACUGUUUCGGCAAGGGGGUCAUCCCGACUUACCAACCCGAUGCAAACUGCGAAUACCGGAGAAUGUUAUCACGGGAGACACACGGCGGGUGCUAACGUCCGUCGUGAAGAGGGAAACAACCCAGACCGCCAGCUAAGGUCCCAAAGUCAUGGUUAAGUGGGAAACGAUGUGGGAAGGCCCAGACAGCCAGGAUGUUGGCUUAGAAGCAGCCAUCAUUUAAAGAAAGCGUAAUAGCUCACUGGUCGAGUCGGCCUGCGCGGAAGAUGUAACGGGGCUAAACCAUGCACCGAAGCUGCGGCAGCGACGCUGAUGCGUUGUUGGGUAGGGGAGCGUUCUGUAAGCCUGCGAAGGUGUGCUGUGAGGCAUGCUGGAGGUAUCAGAAGUGCGAAUGCUGACAUAAGUAACGAUAAAGCGGGUGAAAAGCCCGCUCGCCGGAAGACCAAGGGUUCCUGUCCAACGUUAAUCGGGGCAGGGUGAGUCGACCCCUAAGGCGAGGCCGAAAGGCGUAGUCGAUGGGAAACAGGUUAAUAUUCCUGUACUUGGUGUUACUGCGAAGGGGGGACGGAGAAGGCUAUGUUGGCCGGGCGACGGUUGUCCCGGUUUAAGCGUGUAGGCUGGUUUUCCAGGCAAAUCCGGAAAAUCAAGGCUGAGGCGUGAUGACGAGGCACUACGGUGCUGAAGCAACAAAUGCCCUGCUUCCAGGAAAAGCCUCUAAGCAUCAGGUAACAUCAAAUCGUACCCCAAACCGACACAGGUGGUCAGGUAGAGAAUACCAAGGCGCUUGAGAGAACUCGGGUGAAGGAACUAGGCAAAAUGGUGCCGUAACUUCGGGAGAAGGCACGCUGAUAUGUAGGUGAAGUCCCUCGCGGAUGGAGCUGAAAUCAGUCGAAGAUACCAGCUGGCUGCAACUGUUUAUUAAAAACACAGCACUGUGCAAACACGAAAGUGGACGUAUACGGUGUGACGCCUGCCCGGUGCCGGAAGGUUAAUUGAUGGGGUUAGCCGCAAGGCGAAGCUCUUGAUCGAAGCCCCGGUAAACGGCGGCCGUAACUAUAACGGUCCUAAGGUAGCGAAAUUCCUUGUCGGGUAAGUUCCGACCUGCACGAAUGGCGUAAUGAUGGCCAGGCUGUCUCCACCCGAGACUCAGUGAAAUUGAACUCGCUGUGAAGAUGCAGUGUACCCGCGGCAAGACGGAAAGACCCCGUGAACCUUUACUAUAGCUUGACACUGAACAUUGAGCCUUGAUGUGUAGGAUAGGUGGGAGGCUUUGAAGUGUGGACGCCAGUCUGCAUGGAGCCGACCUUGAAAUACCACCCUUUAAUGUUUGAUGUUCUAACGUUGACCCGUAAUCCGGGUUGCGGACAGUGUCUGGUGGGUAGUUUGACUGGGGCGGUCUCCUCCUAAAGAGUAACGGAGGAGCACGAAGGUUGGCUAAUCCUGGUCGGACAUCAGGAGGUUAGUGCAAUGGCAUAAGCCAGCUUGACUGCGAGCGUGACGGCGCGAGCAGGUGCGAAAGCAGGUCAUAGUGAUCCGGUGGUUCUGAAUGGAAGGGCCAUCGCUCAACGGAUAAAAGGUACUCCGGGGAUAACAGGCUGAUACCGCCCAAGAGUUCAUAUCGACGGCGGUGUUUGGCACCUCGAUGUCGGCUCAUCACAUCCUGGGGCUGAAGUAGGUCCCAAGGGUAUGGCUGUUCGCCAUUUAAAGUGGUACGCGAGCUGGGUUUAGAACGUCGUGAGACAGUUCGGUCCCUAUCUGCCGUGGGCGCUGGAGAACUGAGGGGGGCUGCUCCUAGUACGAGAGGACCGGAGUGGACGCAUCACUGGUGUUCGGGUUGUCAUGCCAAUGGCACUGCCCGGUAGCUAAAUGCGGAAGAGAUAAGUGCUGAAAGCAUCUAAGCACGAAACUUGCCCCGAGAUGAGUUCUCCCUGACCCUUUAAGGGUCCUGAAGGAACGUUGAAGACGACGACGUUGAUAGGCCGGGUGUGUAAGCGCAGCGAUGCGUUGAGCUAACCGGUACUAAUGAACCGUGAGGCUUAACCUU